RNAcentral lists this ribosomal RNA (517 nucleotides) under uncultured bacterium. RNAcentral describes it as "partial 16S ribosomal RNA". It matches the Rfam family "Bacterial small subunit ribosomal RNA", at positions 29 to 523 of the family's 1533-position model. The record is from RNAcentral.
AACGAACGCUGGCGGCGUGGAUAAGACAUGCAAGUCGAACGGGAUUUUUUUCUGUAGCAAUACAGAGAAAAGUCUAGUGGCGAACGGGUGCGUAACACGUGAGCAACCUGCCGUGAAGUGGGGGAUAGCUCGCCGAAAGGCGAAUUAAUACCGCAUGUGGCCAAGGAAGACAUCUUCCUGACGCCAAAGCCGGGGCAACCUGGCGCUUCUCGAGGGGCUCGCGGCCUAUCAGCUCGUUGGUGAGGUAACGGCUCACCAAGGCUAUGGCGGGUAGCUGGUCUGAGAGGACGACCAGCCACACUGGAACUGAGACACGGUCCAGACACCUACGGGUGGCAGCAGUCGAGAAUUUUUCACAAUGGGGGAAACCCUGAUGGAGCGACGCCGCGUGGAGGAUGAAGGUUUUCGGAUUGUAAACUCCUGUCAUUAGAGAACAAGGCACACGGUUUAACUGGCCGUGUGUUGAUAGUAUCUGAAGAGGAAGAGACGGCUAACUCUGUGCCAGCCGCCGCCGUAA